AGUGAACGCUGGCGGUAGGCCUAACACAUGCAAGUCGAACGGCAGCACAGUAAGAGCUUGCUCUUACGGGUGGCGAGUGGCGGACGGGUGAGGAAUACAUCGGAAUCUACUUUUUCGUGGGGGAUAACGUAGGGAAACUUACGCUAAUACCGCAUACGACCUACGGGUGAAAGCAGGGGAUCUUCGGACCUUGCGCGAUUGAAUGAGCCGAUGUCGGAUUAGCUAGUUGGCGGGGUAAAGGCCCACCAAGGCGACGAUCCGUAGCUGGUCUGAGAGGAUGAUCAGCCACACUGGAACUGAGACACGGUCCAGACUCCUACGGGAGGCAGCAGUGGGGAAUAUUGGACAAUGGGCGCAAGCCUGAUCCAGCCAUACCGCGUGGGUGAAGAAGGCCUUCGGGUUGCAAAGCCCUUUUGUUGGGAAAGAAAAGUAGCAGGUUAAUACCCCGCUGUUCUGACGGUACCCAAAGAAUAAGCACCGGCUAACUUCGUG
RNAcentral lists this ribosomal RNA (492 nucleotides) under uncultured bacterium. Its description in RNAcentral is "partial 16S ribosomal RNA". It matches the Rfam family "Bacterial small subunit ribosomal RNA", at positions 29 to 507 of the family's 1533-position model. The record is from RNAcentral.